CUUAAAGUCAUCAUAGUUCAGAAACUUUGUCACCUUCUGAAGGAAACCACAAAGUGCAUGAGAGGUUGGGGGCGUGAGGCUUGAAAGUCUAUGCGUCUCUCUACUCUCCACAUCCCAUUUUGUGGCUGGUGCUCCUCUGGUGUGCUGUUAUGAACUCAAACGAUGCAGUUAAGACAAAACACGUUGUUGUUGGUACUGCAGUGGUGUGUACUUGUCUGCAGUGACCGGCUGCAGGAUGGAGACAUACAAGAGCAUCGCCUGCCCUGUGUCUCCAAUGAAACUACUGUUACAUGCAGCUUGUCUGAAGAGGCCCUAAAAGGGUUUCAGACAGUAAGGCUGGAGGUCCUGGUAGGACAGGUCGCUGAAAUUCACUUUACACCUUUGGGAAACAGUUCUGGAAAUUCUACUCCAUGCUUCUGGGCACAAAGGGAAACUGUGAGUAUGCUUCCAUUCCAGCACUUUACAAGAGACAUGGGUGGAGUGUACCCUGCUGUGUGUAGCAGUGGUAGUUCCAACCACUCUGUGAACAUCUCAGUCCACAUAAUCUCACCAAACAAGGGUCCAACGAUUCCACGGAUACAAAUUAUUGAGAAACAAUUUCACACAGUUGACUUUAAAUGUGUUUCAAAGGGAAAUCCAAAACCAACAAUUAAAUGGUAUUCAGGAGACAAAUAUAUCAAGUAAGUUUUAAACACAGCCUCCAAUUUGAUGAAAUAUAAAGUUAUAGCAUGGAUCUGUGGAUA
Molecule: long non-coding RNA, 743 nt
Filed under: Astyanax mexicanus (Mexican tetra)
Lineage: Eukaryota; Metazoa; Chordata; Actinopteri; Characiformes; Acestrorhamphidae
Description: lncRNA (ENSAMXG00005015842.1)
Source: RNAcentral